AGAUUGCUUUACCCUGAGGUAAACGUCAUAAAAUGGGUCCAGUGCAAGACGUGCAGGGGCUGGCUGCAUCAGGAUUGUGCUGGGAUUGAAAUGGAGCCGUUUGACUGCGGGUGCGAGGACUCCAUUGAGCAUCCUCGGUAUAACAUAAUUUAUCAAGGAAACAUAGUAUCAGUCAAAAAUACGAGGCUCAAAGGAUGAAAAAAUGAGGGCUUGCUCUUUUCUUAUUUCUCUGCAGGAUCAAGGAUGCUGUUGACAGUUGAGGAAUUCAUGCUGUCUUUUCUAAGACACAGAUCAAGGUUGCUUUUGAAUGCACUAUCAGUUGUUAAAGCCACCGUUUCUUUUUCAGAUGAUUACAUUUUUGUCUCUUGCUCUUUGGUUUCAGACAUUACAUGAUGAUCUACUGUCUGGAAAGAUCCGCUCCAACAGAAUGUUCCUUUGGAGGAAUCCCGCCACCUCACUCCGACUAAAGCAGCAUCUUAAGAUAAGGACACUAAGUUGGAGUGAGCAGCGCGUAAGUAAAAAUGCCAUCCAUCAUGAGUAUUUUUACUCUCAGGGGUGUUACAUUUGAAAGGUGUUUACUUUCUGUGUUUUUCUUCAAUAGAUGUUCGAGCUCCUGCGGUUCAUUGAGGUGGCAACAAACAUUUCUAAAAAAAUAAAGAGAGGCGAGAUUCAUCUGCUUGAUUUCGUUUUUGACGUCAUGCUCCCAGAGGUGAGUAGAUCAAACUAUAUAGCUUGCUUUGAAAAAUGAUGAUAUUGUUAAGAGGUUGUUCUUAUUCAUUUGGAAAGCUCAAGAACAACAAUUAACCCAUACUGCAUA
Molecule: non-coding RNA, 817 nt
Organism: Xyrichtys novacula (pearly razorfish)
Lineage: Eukaryota; Metazoa; Chordata; Actinopteri; Labriformes; Labridae
Source: the annotation of a GenBank genome assembly